This 1369-nucleotide ribosomal RNA is filed under the name uncultured bacterium. Its description in RNAcentral is "bacterial SSU rRNA". It matches the Rfam family "Bacterial small subunit ribosomal RNA", at positions 28 to 1381 of the family's 1533-position model. The record is from RNAcentral.
GACGAACGCUGGCGGCGUGCCUAAUACAUGCAAGUAGAACGCUGAAGAGAAGAGCUUGCUCUUCUUGGAUGAGUUGCGAACGGGUGAGUAACGCGUAGGUAACCUGCCUGGUAGCGGGGGAUAACUAUUGGAAACGAUAGCUAAUACCGCAUAAAAUUGAUUAUUGCAUGAUAAUUAAUUGAAAGAUGCAAUUGCAUCACUACCAGAUGGACCUGCGUUGUAUUAGCUAGUUGGUGAGGUAACGGCUCACCAAGGCGACGAUACAUAGCCGACCUGGGAGGGUGAUCGGCCACACUGGGACUGAGACACGGCCCAGACUCCUACGGGAGGCAGCAGUAGGGAAUCUUCGGCAAUGGGGGGAACCCUGACCGAGCAACGCCGCGUGAGUGAAGAAGGUUUUCGGAUCGUAGAGCUCUGUUGUAAGAGAAGAACGGGUGUGAGAGUGGAAAGUUCACACUGUGACGGUAUCUUACCAGAAAGGGACGGCUAACUACGUGCCAGCAGCCGCGGUAAUACGUAGGUCCCGAGCGUUGUCCGGAUUUAUUGGGCGUAAAGCGAGCGCAGGCGGUUAGAUAAGUCUGAAGUUAAAGGCUGUGGCUUAACCAUAGUAUGCUUUGGAAACUGUUUAACUUGAGUGCAGAAGGGGAGAGUGGAAUUCCAUGUGUAGCGGUGAAAUGCGUAGAUAUAUGGAGGAACACCGGUGGCGAAAGCGGCUCUCUGGUCUGUAACUGACGCUGAGGCUCGAAAGCGUGGGGAGCAAACAGGAUUGGAUACCCUGGUAGUCCACGCCGUAAACGAUGAGUGCUAGGUGUUAGGCCCUUUCCGGGGCUUAGUGCCGCAGCUAACGCAUUAAGCACUCCGCCUGGGGAGUACGACCGCAAGGUUGAAACUCAAAGGAAUUGACGGGGGCCCGCACAAGCGGUGGAGCAUGUGGUUUAAUUCGAAGCAACGCGAAGAACCUUACCAGGUCUUGACAUCCCUCUGACCGCUCUAGAGAUAGAGUUUUCCUUCGGGACAGAGGUGACAGGUGGUGCAUGGUUGUCGUCAGCUCGUGUCGUGAGAUGUUGGGUUAAGUCCCGCAACGAGCGCAACCCCUAUUGUUAGUUGCCAUCAUUCAGUUGGGCACUCUAGCGAGACUGCCGGUAAUAAACCGGAGGAAGGUGGGGAUGACGUCAAAUCAUCAUGCCCCUUAUGACCUGGGCUACACACGUGCUACAAUGGCUGGUACAACGAGUCGCAAGCCGGUGACGGCAAGCUAAUCUCUGAAAGCCAGUCUCAGUUCGGAUUGUAGGCUGCAACUCGCCUACAUGAAGUCGGAAUCGCUAGUAAUCGCGGAUCAGCACGCCGCGGUGAAUACGUUCCCGGGCCU